CUCAAGCUAGCCUACACAUGCAGUCGAGCGGUAACAGGUCCAGCUUGCUGGAUGCUGACGAGCGGCGGACGGGUGAGUAACGCAUAGGAAUCUACCCGGUAGUGGGGGAUAACCUGGGGAAACCCAGGCUAAUACCGCAUACGUCCUACGGGAGAAAGGGGGCUUCGGCUCCCGCUAUUGGAUGAGCCUAUGCCGGAUUAGCUGGUUGGUGAGGUAAUGGCUCACCAAGGCGACGAUCCGUAGCUGGUCUGAGAGGAUGAUCAGCCACAUCGGGACUGAGACACGGCCCGAACUCCUACGGGAGGCAGCAGUGGGGAAUAUUGGACAAUGGGGGCAACCCUGAUCCAGCCAUGCCGCGUGUGUGAAGAAGGCCCUCGGGUUGUAAAGCACUUUCAGCGAGGAAGAACGCCUGUCGGUUAAUACCCGGCAGGAAAGACAUCACUCGCAGAAGAAGCACCGGCUAACUCCGUGCCAGCAGCCGCGGUAAUACGGAGGGUGCAAGCGUUAAUCGGAAUUACUGGGCGUAAAGCGCGCGUAGGUGGCUUGAUAAGCCGGUUGUGAAAGCCCCGGGCUCAACCUGGGAACGGCAUCCGGAACUAU
RNAcentral lists this ribosomal RNA (600 nucleotides) under Vreelandella subterranea. RNAcentral describes it as "bacterial SSU rRNA". It matches the Rfam family "Bacterial small subunit ribosomal RNA", at positions 36 to 636 of the family's 1533-position model. Lineage: Bacteria; Pseudomonadati; Pseudomonadota; Gammaproteobacteria; Oceanospirillales; Halomonadaceae. The record is from RNAcentral.